GACGAACGCUGGCGGCGUGCUUAACACAUGCAAGUCGAACGGAAAGGCCAUGCUUUUGUGGGUUGCUCGAGUGGCGAACGGGUGAGUAACACGCGAGUAACCUGCCCUUGACUUUGGGAUAACUUCAGGAAACUGGGGCUAAUACCGGAUAGGAGAUCCUGCUGCAUGGUGGUGGUUGGAAAGUUUCGGCGGUUGGGGCUGGACUCGCGGCUUAUGAGCUUGUUGGUGGGGUAGGUGCUUACCAAGGCUUUGAAGGGUAGCCGGCCUGAGAGGGUGACCGGCGACAUUGGGACUGAGGGACGGCCCAGACUCGUACGGGAGGCAGCAGUGGGGAAUAUUGCACAAUGGGCGGAAGCCUGAUGCAGCAGCGCCGCGUGCGGGAUGACGGCCUUCGGGUUGUAAACCGCUUUCGCCUGUGACGAAGCGUGAGUGACGGUAAUGGGUAAGGAAGCACCGGCUAACUACGUG
This 468-nucleotide ribosomal RNA is filed under the name uncultured bacterium. RNAcentral's name for it is "partial 16S ribosomal RNA". It matches the Rfam family "Bacterial small subunit ribosomal RNA", at positions 28 to 507 of the family's 1533-position model. The record is from RNAcentral.